RNAcentral lists this ribosomal RNA (342 nucleotides) under uncultured fungus. RNAcentral's name for it is "eukaryotic LSU rRNA". The stretch from base 1 to 71 matches the Rfam family "5.8S ribosomal RNA", at positions 84 to 154 of the family's 154-position model. The record is from RNAcentral. Lineage: Eukaryota; Fungi.
GUGAGUCAUCGAAUCUUUGAACGCACCUUGCACCCUUUGGUAUUCCGAAGGGUACACCCGUUUGAGUGUCAUUGUAAUCUCACUACAACCGUCUUUUUGUUGUGUUGUAUGUGGACUUGGAUGUUGCUGUGUAACAAACGGCUCAUCUGAAAUGCCUGAGUGUACCCUGCUUUGCCGGUCGUAUUCGGUGUGAUAAAUCUUCACCGGAGUUUGACUUCUCGGGUCGCGUCCGCUUGACAUGGCUCUAUGGCCUUCCAACCGUCCUGACAAGACAUCUUUGACAAUUUGACCUCAAAUCGGGUGGGACUACCCGCUGAACUUAAGCAUAUCAAUAAGCGGAGG